GUGCCAGCCGCCGCGGUAAUACGUAGGGGGCUAGCGUUGCUCGGAAUCACUGGGCGUAAAGCGCACGUAGGCGGAUCUUUAAGCCAGGGGUGAAAUCCUGGAGCUCAACUCCAGAACUGCCUUUGAUACUGAGGAUCUUGAGUCCGGGAGAGGUGAGUGGAACUCCGAGUGUAGAGGUGAAAUUCGUAGAUAUUCGGAAGAACACCAGUGGCGAAGGCGGCUCACUGGCCCGGUACUGACGCUGAGGUGCGAAAGCGUGGGGAGCAAACAGGAUUAGAUACCCCGGUAGUCC
RNAcentral lists this ribosomal RNA (292 nucleotides) under uncultured bacterium. RNAcentral describes it as "partial 16S ribosomal RNA". It matches the Rfam family "Bacterial small subunit ribosomal RNA", at positions 505 to 796 of the family's 1533-position model. The record is from RNAcentral.